CGAGACCUCAGGUCAGGCGGGACUACCCGCUGAGUUUAAGCAUA
RNAcentral lists this ribosomal RNA (44 nucleotides) under Cratylia isopetala. RNAcentral describes it as "Camptosema isopetalum partial 26S ribosomal RNA". Lineage: Eukaryota; Viridiplantae; Streptophyta; Magnoliopsida; Fabales; Fabaceae. The record is from RNAcentral.